GGUUAAGCGACUAAGCGUACACGGUGGAUGCCCUGGCAGUCAGAGGCGAUGAAGGGCGUGCUAAUCUGCGAUAAGCGCCGGUAAGGUGAUAUGAACCGUUAUAACCGGCGAUACCCGAAUGGGGAAACCCAGUGUGACUCGUCACACUAUCAUUAACUGAAUCCAUAGGUUAAUGAGGCGAACCGGGGGAACUGAAACAUCUAAGUACCCCGAGGAAAAGAAAUCAACCGAGAUUCCCUCAGUAGCGGCGAGCGAACGGGGAGGAGCCCAGAGCCUGAAUCAGCAUGUGUGUUAGUGGAAGCGUCUGGAAAGGCGCGCGAUACAGGGUGACAGCCCCGUACACAAAAGCGCAUAUGCUGUGAGCUCGAUGAGUAGGGCGGGACACGUGGUAUCCUGUCUGAAUAUGGGGGGACCAUCCUCCAAGGCUAAAUACUCCUGACUGACCGAUAGUGAACCAGUACCGUGAGGGAAAGGCGAAAAGAACCCCGGUGAGGGGAGUGAAAAAGAACCUGAAACCGUGUACGUACAAGCAGUGGGAGCACCCUUUGGGGUGUGACUGCGUACCUUUUGUAUAAUGGGUCAGCGACUUAUAUUCUGUAGCAAGGUUAACCG
This 612-nucleotide ribosomal RNA is filed under the name Salmonella enterica subsp. enterica serovar Oranienburg. RNAcentral describes it as "partial 23S ribosomal RNA". It matches the Rfam family "Bacterial large subunit ribosomal RNA", at positions 1 to 652 of the family's 2925-position model. RNAcentral also lists the same sequence under 1 other name. The record is from RNAcentral. Lineage: Bacteria; Pseudomonadati; Pseudomonadota; Gammaproteobacteria; Enterobacterales; Enterobacteriaceae.